CUCAUGGAGACUUCGAUCCUUGCUCAAGAUGAACGCUGGCAGCAUGCUUAAACAUGCAAGUCACAAGGGAAACACGGUAAAUGGUGUUUCCACUAGCAGACGAGUGUGUAACGCGUAAGAACCUGCCCUUGGGAGGGGAACAACAGCUGGAAACGACUACUAAUACCCCGUAGGCUGAGAAGCAAAAGGAGGAAUCCGCCCGAGGAGGGUCUCACUUCUGAUUAGCUAGUUGGUGAGGCAAUAAGUUACCAAGGCGAUGUUCAGUAGCUGGUCCGAGAGGAUGAUCAGUCACACUGGGAUUGAGACACCACCCAUACUUCCACAGGAGGGAGUAGUGGGGAAUUUAAUGCAAUGGACAAAAGCCAGACGGAGCAAUGCCACGUGGAGGUAGAAGACCCACGAGUCAUGAACUUAUUUUACCAGAGAAGAAGCAAUGACAGUAUCUGGGUAAUAAGCAUCAGCUAAUCUUGUGCCAGCAGUCGCGGUAAUAUAGAGGAUGCAAGCGUUAUCCGGAAUGACUGGGCGCAAAGCAUAUGUAGGUGGAUUUUUUUAGUACGACAUCAAAUCCCAGGGCUCAACCAUGGACAGGCGGUGGAAACUACAAAGCUGGUGUACGGUAGGGGCAGAGGGAAUUCUGGGUGGAGUAGUGAAAUGCGUAGAGAUCGAAAAGAACACAAAUGACGAAAGCACUCUGCUGGGCCAACACUGAAAAUGAGAGACAAAAAUUAGGAGAGCUAAUGGAAUCAGAUAUCCAAGUAGUCCUAGCUGUAAACAAUGGAUACUAUGCAUUGUGCGUCUCGACCCAUUCAGUUGUAGCUUACACGUUAAGCAUCCCGCCUGGGGAGUACGUUCGCGAGCAUGAAACUCAAAGGAAUUGACGGGGGCCUGCACAAGUGGUAGAGCAUGUGGUUUAAUUUGAUGCAAAAGAAAGAACCUUAUCAAAUCUUGACAUUCCGCGAAUCCUCUUGAAAGAGAGGGGUUCUUUCGGGAACGCGGACAAAUGUGGUGCAUUACUUUUGUUAGCUCAUGCCGUAAGGUGUUGGGAUAAGUCCCUCAAUGAGUGCAACCCUUGUGUUUAUUUGCCAUCAUUGAUUUUGGAACCAUAAAUAGACUGCCGGUGAUAAGCCGGAGGAACGUGAUGAUGAUGUCAAGUCAUCAUGCCCCUUAUGCCCUGGGCGACAUAUGUGCUACAAUGGCCGGGACAAAGAGUCGCAAUCCCGCAAGGGUUAUCAAACCCCAAAAACCCAGACUCAGUUCGGAAUGCAUGCUGAAACUUUCAUGCAUGAAGACGGAAUCGCUAGUACUCAUCGGUCAGCCAUACGGCCGUUUAUUCAUUCCCAGGCCUUGUACACAUCGUCCGUCAUACUAUGGGAGCUGUCCAUGCCCAAAUUCGUUACCUUAACCACAAGGAGGGGGAUGCCAAUGGAAGGUCUGGUGACUCGAGUGAAGUCGUUACAAGGUAGUCGUACUAGAAGGUGCGGUUAGAUCACCUCUUUU
Molecule: ribosomal RNA, 1497 nt
Filed under: Solanum lycopersicum (tomato)
Lineage: Eukaryota; Viridiplantae; Streptophyta; Magnoliopsida; Solanales; Solanaceae
Description: Bacterial small subunit ribosomal RNA
Rfam family: Bacterial small subunit ribosomal RNA
Source: Rfam by way of RNAcentral